AACGAACGCUGGCGGCAGGCCUAACACAUGCAAGUCGAGCGGACAUCUUCGGAUGUUAGCGGCGGACGGGUGAGUAACGCGUGGGAAUAUGCCCUUUGGUACGGAAUAGCCUCGGGAAACUGGGAGUAAUACCGUAUGUGCCCUUCGGGGGAAAGAUUUAUCGCCAAAGGAUUAGCCCGCGUUGGAUUAGGUAGUUGGUGGGGUAAUGGCCUACCAAGCCGACGAUCCAUAGCUGGUUUGAGAGGAUGAUCAGCCACACUGGGACUGAGACACGGCCCAGACUCCUACGGGAGGCAGCAGUGGGGAAUCUUAGACAAUGGGCGCAAGCCUGAUCUAGCCAUGCCGCGUGAUCGAUGAAGGCCUUAGGGUUGUAAAGAUCUUUCAGCUGGGAAGAUAAUGACGGUAUCAGCAGAAGAAGCCCCGGCUAACUCCGUGCCAGCAGCUGCGGUAAUACGGAGGGGGCUAGCGUUGUUCGGAAUUACUGGGCGUAAAGCGCACGUAGGCGGAUUGGAAAGUUGGGGGUGAAAUCCCAGGGCUCAACCCUGGAACUGCCUCCAAAACUCCCAGUCUUGAGUUUCGAGAGAGGUGAGUGGAAUUCCGAGUGUAGAGGUGAAAUUCG
This 619-nucleotide ribosomal RNA is filed under the name uncultured Alphaproteobacteria bacterium. RNAcentral's name for it is "bacterial SSU rRNA". It matches the Rfam family "Bacterial small subunit ribosomal RNA", at positions 28 to 690 of the family's 1533-position model. The record is from RNAcentral. Lineage: Bacteria; Pseudomonadati; Pseudomonadota; Alphaproteobacteria.